This 2025-nucleotide ribosomal RNA is filed under the name soil metagenome. Its description in RNAcentral is "bacterial LSU rRNA". It matches the Rfam family "Bacterial large subunit ribosomal RNA", at positions 383 to 2257 of the family's 2925-position model. The record is from RNAcentral.
AUGGCGCGAACUCCCAGGAGGGAUCCCAAGUAGCACGGGGCCCGAGAAAUCCCGUGCGAAUCUGGGGGGACCACCCCCUAAGCCUAAAUACUCCCUGGUGACCGAUAGCGGACUAGUACCGUGAGGGAAAGGUGAAAAGUACCCCGGGAGGGGAGUGAAAUAGUACCUGAAACCGUGUGCCUACAAUCCGUCAGAGCUGUUGCAUUCCUUUGGGGGUGUGGUGGUGAUGGCGUGCCUUUUGAAGAAUGAGCCUGCGAGUUAGUGGUGCGUGGCGAGGUUAACCCGUGUGGGGUAGCCGUAGCGAAAGCGAGUCUGAAUAGGGCGCUUUAGUCGCAUGCUCUAGACCCGAAGCGGAGUGAUCUAUCCAUGGGCAGGUUGAAGCGCGGGUAAGACCGCGUGGAGGACCGAACCCACCAGGGUUGAAAACCUGGGGGAUGAGCUGUGGGUAGGGGUGAAAGGCCAAUCAAACUCCGUGAUAGCUGGUUCUCCCCGAAAUGCAUUUAGGUGCAGCGUCACGUGUUUCUUACCGGAGGUAGAGCUACUGGAUAGCCAAUGGGCCUCACCAGGUUACUGACGUUAGCCAAACUCCGAAUGCCGGUAAGUGAGAGCGUGGCAGUGAGACUGCGGGGGAUAAGCUCCGUAGUCGAGAGGGAAACAGCCCAGACCAUCAGCUAAGGCCCCUAAGCGGUGACUAAGUGGAAAAGGAUGUGGAGUCGCAUUGACAACCAGGAGGUUGGCUUAGAAGCAGCCACCCUUGAAAGAGUGCGUAAUAGCUCACUGGUCAAGUGAUUCCGCGCCGACAAUGUAACGGGGCUCAAGCACGCCACCGAAGUUGUGGCAUUGACAUCAGUGGUAGGCCUUCGUGGUCCAGCCGUGUUGAUGGGUAGGAGAGCGUCGUGUGGCUAGUGAAGCGGCGGUGUGAACCAGCCGUGGACGCCACACGAGUGAGAAUGCAGGCAUGAGUAGCGAAAGACGGGUGAGAAACCCGUCCGCCGAAUGACCAAGGGUUCCAGGGCCAGGCUAAUCCGCCCUGGGUAAGUCGGGACCUAAGGCGAGGCCGACAGGCGUAGUCGAUGGACAACGGGUUGAUAUUCCCGUACCGGCAACGUGACGCCCAUGACGAACCCGGUGAUGCUAACCACCCGAAACCAUCAGUGACGUGCCCUUCGGGGUGACGAGCUGGUGGCGGAGCGUGGGACCCGAACCGGUAGUAGUCAAGCGAUGGGGUGACGCAGGAAGGCAGCCCAACCGUGGCGAUGGUUGUCCACGGGUAAGUGCGUAGGGUGAGACGUAGGCAAAUCCGCGUCUCGUAUGCCUGAGACACGAUACGGAGUCCGAACGGACGAAGUGGGUGAUCCUAUGCUGUCGAGAAAAACCUCUAGCGAGCUAUGCGCCGCCCGUACCCCAAACCGACACAGGUGAUCAGGUAGAGAAUACCAAGGCGAUCGAGUGAACCAUGGUUAAGGAACUCGGCAAAAUGCCCCCGUAACUUCGGGAGAAGGGGGGCCGGAAGCGUGUAGCUCAUUUCGAGCGAAGCGUUGAAGGCCGCAGAGACCAGGCCCAAGCGACUGUUUACUAAAAACACAGGUCCGUGCGAAGUCGCAAGACGAUGUAUACGGACUGACGCCUGCCCGGUGCUGGAAGGUUAAGAGGAACGGUUAGCGCAAGCGAAGCUGAGAAUUUAAGCCCCAGUAAACGGCGGUGGUAACUAUAACCAUCCUAAGGUAGCGAAAUUCCUUGUCGGGUAAGUUCCGACCUGCACGAAUGGCGUAACGACUUCCCCACUGUCUCAACCACAGGCCCGGCGAAAUUGCACUACGAGUAAAGAUGCUCGUUACGCGCAGCAGGACGGAAAGACCCCGGGACCUUUACUAUAGCUUGGUAUUGGUGUUCGGUACGGCUUGUGUAAGAUAGGUGGGAGACUGUGCAGCAUGCAAGGCAGUGGUUGUGGAGUCAACGGUGAAAUCCCACUUUUGUCGUCCUGGAUAUCUAACCUCGAUCCGUGAUCCGUAACAGUGACAGUGC